CAUGCAAGUCGAACGAAACUUAGUGAACCUCGGUUUGCUAAGUUUAGUGGCGCACGGGUGCGUAACGCGUGGGAAUCUACCCCUAGCUGCGGAAUAACUCAGAGAAAUUUGAGCUAAUACCGCAUAAUGUCGCAAGACCAAGAUUUAUCGGCAAGGGAUGAGCCCGCGUAAGAUUAGCUUGUUGGUGAGGUAAAAGCUCACCAAGGCGACGAUCUUUAGCUGGUCUGAGAGGAUGAUCAGCCACACUGGGACUGAGACACGGCCCAGACUCCUACGGGAGGCAGCAGUGGGGAAUAUUGGACAAUGGGCGCAAGCCUGAUCCAGCAAUGCCGCGUGAGUGAUGAAGGCCCUAGGGUUGUAAAGCUCUUUUACUAGGGAUGAUAAUGACAGUACCUAGAGAAUAAGCUCCGGCUAACUCCGUGCCAGCAGCCGCGGUAAUACGGAGGGAGCUAGCGUUGUUCGGAAUUACUGGGCGUAAAGCGCGCGUAGGCGGCUCGUCAAGUCAGGGGUGAAAGCCCGGGGCUCAACCCCGGAACUGCCUUUGAAACUAGCGAGCUAGAAUCUUGUAGAGGUUAGCGGAAUUCCGAGUGUAGAGGUGAA
Molecule: ribosomal RNA, 600 nt
Filed under: uncultured Alphaproteobacteria bacterium
Lineage: Bacteria; Pseudomonadati; Pseudomonadota; Alphaproteobacteria
Description: bacterial SSU rRNA
Rfam family: Bacterial small subunit ribosomal RNA
Source: RNAcentral